AUACGGAGGAUGCAAGCGUUAUCCGGAUUUAUUGGGUUUAAAGGGUGCGUAGGCUGUUCGGAAAGUCAGGGGUGAAAGCCCGGCGCCUAACGCCGGAACUGCCUUUGAUACUUCCGAGCUGGAAUACGGAUGCCGUGGGAGGAAUGAGUAGUGUAGCGGUGAAAUGCAUAGAUAUUACUCAGAACACCGAUUGCGAAGGCAUCUCACGAAUCCGUCAUUGACGCUGAGGCACGAAAGCGUGGGGAUCAAACAGGAUUAGAUACCCUGGUAGUCCACGCAGUAAACGAUGAUGACUAACCGUCGGCGAUACACAGUCGGUGGCCAAGCGAAAGCGAUAAGUCAUCCACCUGGGGAGUACGCCGGCAACGGUGAAACUUAAAUGAAUUGACGGGG
Molecule: ribosomal RNA, 393 nt
Filed under: uncultured bacterium
Lineage: Bacteria
Description: partial 16S ribosomal RNA
Rfam family: Bacterial small subunit ribosomal RNA
Source: RNAcentral